GGCAAGAUGGCCGAGUGGUCUAAGGCGCCAGACUUAGGUAAUUGCAUACUUACAUAUCUGGUCCUCCGGGGCGUGGGUUCGAACCCCACUCUUGUCA
This is a non-coding RNA of Hysterangium stoloniferum, 97 nucleotides long. The record is from the annotation of a GenBank genome assembly. NCBI's taxonomy places the organism in Eukaryota, Fungi, Basidiomycota, Agaricomycetes, Hysterangiales, Hysterangiaceae.